This 487-nucleotide ribosomal RNA is filed under the name uncultured bacterium. Its description in RNAcentral is "bacterial SSU rRNA". It matches the Rfam family "Bacterial small subunit ribosomal RNA", at positions 28 to 507 of the family's 1533-position model. The record is from RNAcentral.
GAUGAACGCUAGCGGGAGGCUUAACACAUGCAAGUCGAGGGGCAGCAUAGGGUAGCAAUACUCUGAUGGCGACCGGCAAACGGGUGAGUAACGCGUAUGCAACCUACCCUGUACAGGGGGAUAACCCGGAGAAAUUCGGACUAAUAUCCCGUAAUAAUAUCCGGAGGCAUCUUUGGAUAUUUAAAGUUCCGACGGUACGGGAUGGGCAUGCGUAACAUUAGCUGGUUGGUAAGGUAACGGCUUACCAAGGCUAUGAUGUUUAGGGGUCCUGAGAGGGUGGUCCCCCACACUGGUACUGAGACACGGACCAGACCCCUACGGGAGGCAGCAGUGAGGAAUAUUGGUCAAUGGGCGCAAGCCUGAACCAGCCAUCCCGCGUGCAGGAAGACGGCCCUAUGGGUUGUAAACUGCUUUUCCAGGGAGAGAAACUUACGCACGUGUUGCGUGACUGACGGUACCCUGGGAAUAAGCAUCGGCUAACUCCGUG